RNAcentral lists this unclassified non-coding RNA (415 nucleotides) under Hevea brasiliensis (rubber tree). Lineage: Eukaryota; Viridiplantae; Streptophyta; Magnoliopsida; Malpighiales; Euphorbiaceae. The record is from RNAcentral.
GUCCAAUUGACAUGAAUUACAUAAAAUCAAUCCUAUUAUUUUCAUAAAAGCUCGCGGGUGAACAAGACCAACGACCCUACCUCUUUUGCCAAUACUAUUAAACGUAUAACCUACCAUUGGAAGAUGAAAUUGGGAUGUAAACUAGCUAUUCUUUUUUAUUUAUCUACAUGAAUUGAGACCAUUACAGCAUAGGCAUCAUUACCCUAUAAAGUACAAAGUCACCCUGCUCCAGCUUAUUUGACAGUGUACGAAAAUUGCCCAAUGUUUUGAUUGUAAUGAAGUAUUUGACCUUUAUGUUCAGGUCUCAAGCUCCAUAUAAACAAGAUAUAUUUAUCGUCUUAUAUCAAUUUGCCAUUGAGAAAAGAAGAUUUUAAGAGGCUUGAUGUUGGUGUAUGAGUACCCAAUAAUCCACAAA